GACGAAGGGUGCAAACGUUGCUCGGAAUUAUUGGGCGUAAAGCGCACGUAGGCGGCUUGGCAAGUCGGAUGUGAAAUCCCUCGGCUCAACCAAGGAAGUGCAUCCGAAACUGCCGAGCUUGAGUACUUAAGAGGAUCGCGGAAUUCCCGGUGUAGAGGUGAAAUUCGUAGAUAUCGGGAGGAACACCAGUGGCGAAGGCGGCGAUCUGGGAAGAUACUGACGCUGAGGUGCGAAAACGUGGGGAGCAAACAGG
Molecule: ribosomal RNA, 253 nt
Filed under: uncultured bacterium
Lineage: Bacteria
Description: partial 16S ribosomal RNA
Rfam family: Bacterial small subunit ribosomal RNA
Source: RNAcentral